This 253-nucleotide ribosomal RNA is filed under the name uncultured bacterium. RNAcentral's name for it is "partial 16S ribosomal RNA". It matches the Rfam family "Bacterial small subunit ribosomal RNA", at positions 524 to 776 of the family's 1533-position model. The record is from RNAcentral.
UACGGGGGGGGCAAGCGUUGUUCGGAAUUACUGGGCGUAAAGGGCUCGUAGGCGGCCAACUAAGUCAGACGUGAAAUCCCUCGGCUUAACCGGGGAACUGCGUCUGAUACUGGAUGGCUUGAAUCCGGGAGAGGGAUGCGGAAUUCCAGGUGUAGCGGUGGAAUGCGUAGAGAUCCGGAAGAACACCGGUGGCGAAGGCGGCCUGCUGGGCGGCGACUGACGCUGAGGCGCGACAGCGUGGGGAGCAAACAGG